GAUGAAGAACGCAGCGAAAUGCGAUACUUGGUGUGAAUUGCAGAAUCCCGCGAAUCAUCGAGUUUUUGAACGCAAGUUGCGCCCGAAGCCAUUCGGCCGAGGGCGCGUCUGCCUGGGUGUCACGCAUCGUUGCCCCCCCAAACUCCGGUUCGGGCGGGGCGGAAGUUGGCCUCCCGUGCGUGCCUGCGCGCGCGGUUAGCCCAAAAGCGAGUCCUCGGCGAUGAGCGCCACGACAAUCGGUGGUUUUUUUACCCUCGUUCCUCGUCGUGCGUGCCCCGUCGCCCGAACGCGCUCUUGCAACCCUUACGCGUCGCCUCGGUGGCGCUCCCAACGCGACCCCAGGUCAGGCGGGACUACCCGCUGAGUUUAAGCAUAUCAAUAAGCGGAGGA
RNAcentral lists this unclassified non-coding RNA (390 nucleotides) under soil metagenome. RNAcentral's name for it is "partial contains 5.8S ribosomal RNA, internal transcribed spacer 2, and large subunit ribosomal RNA". The stretch from base 1 to 122 matches the Rfam family "5.8S ribosomal RNA", at positions 35 to 154 of the family's 154-position model. The record is from RNAcentral.